This 253-nucleotide ribosomal RNA is filed under the name uncultured bacterium. Its description in RNAcentral is "partial 16S ribosomal RNA". It matches the Rfam family "Bacterial small subunit ribosomal RNA", at positions 524 to 776 of the family's 1533-position model. The record is from RNAcentral.
UACGUAGGGAGCAAGCGUUGUCCGGAAUCAUUGGGCGUAAAGCGCGCGUAGGCGGCCUCAUAAGUCCGUUGUGAAAGUCAAAGGCUCAACCUUUGAAAGCCGAUGGAUACUGUGAGGCUAGAGUCCGGAAGAGGCGAGUGGAAUUCCUGGUGUAGCGGUGGAAUGCGCAGAUAUCGGAAGGAACACCAGUGGCGAAAGCGGCUUCCUGGUCCAGCACCGACGUUCAGGCACGAAAGCGUGGGGAGCAAACAGG